CGUGUAGGCGGGAGGGAAAGUCAGAUGUGAAAUCCCCAGGCUCAACCUGGGAACUGCAUUUGAAACUCCCCUUCUUGAGUACCGGAGAGGAAAGUGGAAUUCCUGGUGUAGAGGUGAAAUUCGUAGAUAUCAGGAGGAACACCAGUGGCGAAGGCGGCUUUCUGGACGGUAACUGACGCUGAGACGCGAAAGCGUGGGGAGCAAACA
This 207-nucleotide ribosomal RNA is filed under the name uncultured bacterium. RNAcentral describes it as "partial 16S ribosomal RNA". It matches the Rfam family "Bacterial small subunit ribosomal RNA", at positions 568 to 774 of the family's 1533-position model. The record is from RNAcentral.